GAUUAGUCUAACGUUGCUCAUUGAGCUUACGGAGCGUUGAGUAUCAAAUAUUGGCCUAUGUACGUAUUUACGAGUCCCUCACAAAGGCUCAGUUACAUACAUGUGAGGAGAACAGGGAAUGACGAUCUUUGCGGCGUAUCAAGUGAUUAUCGUGAGUGAACAAAUUGUUGGAAAGCUAGACGGAUCUCUCCUCACUCACAGUCAACCAGCGUGCAUGUGUGUACGUGUGCACUUGGGCCAAUGCGACGGAGCAAGCUCCUAAUUGCGGUUGUCGUGGAGCAAUUCGAUCUCAAACCGGCUACCACAUUCACCGUGCUUCAAAAUCCAAUAGACAGGCAUCGGAAAUUAAAAUCGAAACACUAGCCAAUAGGCCGCCAUUUCCAACCACGACCACCACCACCACUACCAACAACAACAACAACAACAACAUCACUGACAGCACGAUCAAGUGUUGCUUGCUCCUGCGAUCGGUCGUUUGAUGGCUCCAUAUCGAGUUUAUACAACGUGAGGAAUUCGAUUUCCCCACUCGCACAACGAAGUCAGAAUUAUAUCAUUGCAAACAAAGAGGGAGCCAUAAAGCAUGGCCAAACAGGAGGGGGAGGGAGGAGGGGAAGAAGAAGGAGGAGAAGGAGGAGGAAACUCUGGACUCUUUGGACUGCUUACCACUUCUAGUGAAUACAUAAACAUACAUAGAGAUUCGAGCGAGUGAGCCACCCUUGUGAUUGCCAUUGAAUGCUCGUUUAUUCGUAUCCUUGACGUCGUGCCUUACCCGCUUAGC
This is a long non-coding RNA of Tigriopus californicus, 778 nucleotides long. RefSeq lists it as uncharacterized. NCBI's taxonomy places the organism in Eukaryota, Metazoa, Arthropoda, Copepoda, Harpacticoida, Harpacticidae. The transcript has 3 exons. The record is from RefSeq and is a predicted model, not a curated record.